Molecule: ribosomal RNA, 433 nt
Filed under: uncultured bacterium
Lineage: Bacteria
Description: partial 16S ribosomal RNA
Rfam family: Bacterial small subunit ribosomal RNA
Source: RNAcentral
AACGAACGCUGGCGGCAUGCCUAACACAUGCCAGUCGAACGAGACCUUCGGGUCUAGUGGCGCACGGGUGCGUAACGCGUGGGAACCUGCCCUUAGGUUCGGAAUAACUCCCCGAAAGGGGUGCUAAUACCGGAUAAUGUCUUCGGACCAAAGAUUUAUCGCCUUUGGAUGGGCCCGCGUUGGAUUAGCUAGUUGGUAGGGUAAAAGCCUACCAAGGCGACGAUCCAUAGCUGGUCUGAGAGGAUGAUCAGCCACACUGGGACUGAGACACGGCCCAGACUCCUACGGGAGGCAGCAGUGGGGAAUAUUGGACAAUGGGCGAAAGGCUGAUCCAGCAAUGCCGCGUGAGUGAUGAAGGCCGUAGGGUUGUAAAGCUCUUUUACCCGGGAUGAUAAUGACAGUACCGGGAGAAUAAGCUCCGGCUAACUCCGUG